Molecule: long non-coding RNA, 1437 nt
Organism: Saccostrea cuccullata (small rock oyster)
Lineage: Eukaryota; Metazoa; Mollusca; Bivalvia; Ostreida; Ostreidae
Exons: 3
Source: RefSeq, a predicted model, not a curated record
GGUCCGGCACAAUCUCUUGAUUAAGCUAUAUAGCUUGAUUUAGCUAUAUAGCUUUAUUAAGCUAUUCAGAAUAGCUUGAUUAAGCUAUUUUCUCAGACUUUUUUCUCAAAUGUGUUAUUUUUUCAACAGGUGCAAAAAGUCGCACCUUGGUGCAGUGGAAAUAUUAAACUUUGUACUGCUCUGAAUACAAUGCAUGUAAAAAUCACUCACCAAAUUGCGUCUACUUGAGAGACUUUUUACUCAAAGUUUUAAAUGUUUUGGGGCUAUUGAUGAGUGACCACACAGUUAUUUCUUGAAUGAAAUUAUAAAGGAGGCCAGUUAUGGCCAACAGGAUAAUUGAUUAGUAACAGUUCAGCACAAUGAGAAGCAAUCAUACUUACCCACGCCUCACCACACACUCAGUUACUCAAACAAUGGAAAUUCAUAUUUUGCUUAAAAGUAUUCAACAGCAGCAAUGUUAGAACUUUCUAUGAUUUAGGUUGUAUUUUUGAUAGUCCAUAGUACAUAUAUGAAUAGUCAAAUAUUUGCGACUUUUUGUUUAUUUUUUUCAAAAAACGUUUUUGUGAAAAAUUGCAUAUAAAUAGCUUUAUCAAGCUAUUUUGAAUAGCUUAAUAAAGCUAUAUAGCUUUUUAAAGCUAUAUAGCUUAAUCAAGAGAUUGUGCUGGACCUGUUGAUAACUUGGUGGAUGUAGAUGCUUAGCCAGUCAGUCUCUAGGCUUGUGAAUAUGGAAUCCGGGUGCUCACAAGGACAAGAGGUGUAUGAAAAGAAAAAUAUAAAGAAAUCGUGUAAGGAUCGAAAGUUUGAAGUGUCUGUUGGAAUGAUCAACAUCGAACUUUCUGAGCCUUCGUACUGAAAGUGAAUCCGUUCGUGACACCAAUUAACUGUCAACCUUCUAACAUAACCAUUUACUAAUUUCAUAGAAUAUCAGUGAGGAAGUGCAUGAUUCUCUAGCAAACACGUCAGAAGUUUUGGAUCUUCAUUAAUUGGGAUCUUUGGCACGUACGUUGGGGGGAAAUAUCAUCUGUUGAUUUUAUGGGAUCAUUGUAUCAAUAUAGUUGUGUAGUACAUAUUUUUUGCAUGUAAUACAUGUGUUUGUCACUCUAGUCAAUAACUUUGUACCAGUACAUAAGCAUGAUAAGCCACUGGCAGUUCAUUGUAAAUGUAUACUUUGUUGAGGUCUCAAUAACUAUUCCAAUUCCUUAGCCAACUCAUUUAUUAAAACUUACUUCUUAUUUUAGAAAAUGCAGACUGGAGUUUACUAAAUUCAUGUAUAUCAUAACAUGAUUAUCAUUAAUUUAACCAAGGUGACUGAUUCUCCGGUAAUCAUAUUUUCUCUGUAAAUAACCUUUAAUGUAGAAUACUUUCCGUGAGAAUAUUUUAUGAAAGUGUGCUUAUAUUGUACAUCUGAGAGUUAUAUCAUAUGCAAUAUUUGUCUCA